RNAcentral lists this ribosomal RNA (1337 nucleotides) under metagenome. RNAcentral describes it as "bacterial LSU rRNA". It matches the Rfam family "Bacterial large subunit ribosomal RNA", at positions 1564 to 2910 of the family's 2925-position model. The record is from RNAcentral.
UGAGUACGAGCUGCUACGGCAGCGAAGUGGGUGACGUCAAGCUUCCAAGAAAAGCCCUAUACCCGUUAAGGCAUGACUGCCUGUACCCGAAACCGACACAGGUGGGGUGGUAGAGAAUACCGAGGGGCCGAGGUAACUCUCUCUAAGGAACUCGGCAAAAUGGCCCCGUAACUUCGGGAGAAGGGGUGCCACCGCAAGGUGGUCGCAGUGAAGAGGCCCAGGCGACUGUUUACCAAAAACACAGGUCUCCGCUAAGUCGCAAGACGAUGUAUGGGGGCUGACGCCUGCCCAGUGCCGGAAGGUUAAGGAAGCUGGUCAGCGCAAGCGAAGCUAGCGACUGAAGCCCCGGUGAACGGCGGCCGUAACUAUAACGGUCCUAAGGUAGCGAAAUUCCUUGUCGGGUAAGUUCCGACCCGCACGAAAGGCGUAACGAUCUGGGCGCCGUCUCGGAGAGAGGCUCGGCGAAAUAGAAUUGUCUGUGAAGAUGCGGACUACGUGCACCCGGACAGAAAGACCCUAUGAAGCUUUACUGUAGCUUGGUAUUGUGCCCGGGCUCUGAAUGCGCAGGAUAGGUGGGAGGCUUUGAUCCAUUGCUUGCGGGUGAUGGUGAGCCAACGGUGAGAUACCACUCUUUCAGAGCUAGGGUUCUAACGGUCACCCGUUAUCCGGGGACCGGACAGUAUCAGGUGGGCAGUUUGACUGGGGCGGUCGCCUCCUAAAAGGUAACGGAGGCGCGCAAAGGUUCCCUCAGGCUGGUUGGAAAUCAGCCGACGAGUGUAAAGGCAGAAGGGAGCUUGACUGUGAGACCAACAAGUCGAACAGGGACGAAAGUCGGCCUUAGUGAUCCGACGGUUCUGAGUGGAAGGGCCGUCGCUCAACGGAUAAAAGUUACUCUAAGGAUAACAGGCUGAUCUCCCCCAAGAGUUCACAUCGACGGGGAGGUUUGGCACCUCGAUGUCGGCUCAUCGCAACCUGGGGCUGAAGUCGGUCCCAAUGGUUGGGCUGUUCGCCCAUUAAAGCGGUACGCGAGCUGGGUUCAGAACGUCGAGAGACAGUUCGGUCCAUAUCCGGUGCAUGCGCAGGAACAUUGAGAGGAUUUCUCCCUAGUACGAGAGGACCGGGAGGAACGCACCUCUGGUGUACCAGUUAUCGUGCCAACGGUAAACGCUGGGUAGCCAUGUGCGGAGCGGAUAACCGCUGAAAGCAUCUAAGUGGGAAGCCCACCUCAAGAUGAGUGUUCCCAUGGCACAAGCCAGUAAGGUCACGGGAAGAACACCCGUUGAUAGGCUCUACGUGGAAGCGCAGUAAUGCGUGAAGCGGAGGAGUACUAAUAGACC